RNAcentral lists this ribosomal RNA (508 nucleotides) under uncultured Glomus. Its description in RNAcentral is "SSU rRNA". It matches the Rfam family "Eukaryotic small subunit ribosomal RNA", at positions 569 to 1078 of the family's 1831-position model. Lineage: Eukaryota; Fungi; Glomeromycota; Glomeromycetes; Glomerales; Glomeraceae. The record is from RNAcentral.
AGCAGCCGCGGUAAUUCCAGCUCCAAUAGCGUAUAUUAAAGUUGUUGCAGUUAAAAAGCUCGUAGUUGAAUUUCGGGGUCAAUUCGUCGGUCGUGCCUUCGGUACGCACUAACGAUAUUGAUUCCUCCUUUCUGACGAACCGUGAUGUCAUUAAUUUGGUGUUACGGGGGGUCAGGACUGUUACCUUGAAAAAAUUAGAGUGUUUAAAGCAGGCAAUCGCUCGAAUACAUUAGCAUGGAAUAAUGAAAUAGGACGUUUGAUCCUAUUUUGUUGGUUUCUAGGAUUGACGUAAUGAUUAAUAGGGAUAGUUGGGGGCAUUAGUAUUCAAUUGUCAGAGGUGAAAUUCUUGGAUUUAUUGAAGACUAACUACUGCGAAAGCAUUUGCCAAGGAUGUUUUCAUUAAUCAAGAACGAAAGUUAGGGGAUCGAAGACGAUCAGAUACCGUCGUAGUCUUAACCAUAAACUAUGCCGACUAGGGAUCGGAUGAUGUUAAUUUUUUAAUGACUCA